AAGACCUUGCGCUUUUGGAGCGGCCGAUGCCUGAUUAGCCUGUUGGUAAGGUAAAAGCUUACCAAGGCUUCGAUCAGUAGCUGGUCUGAGAGGACGACCAGCCACACUGGGACUGAGACACGGCCCAGACUCCUACGGGAGGCAGCAGUGGGGAAUUUUGGACAAUGGGGGCAACCCUGAUCCAGCCAUGCCGCGUGAGUGAAGAAGGCCUUCGGGUUGUAAAGCUCUUUCAGCCGGAACGAAACGGUUACGGUUAACACCCGUGACUACUGACGGUACCGGAAGAAGAAGCACCGGCUAACUACGUGCCAGCAGCCGCGGUAAUACGUAGGGUGCGAGCGUUAAUCGGAAUUACUGGGCGUAAAGCGUGCGCAGGUGGUUUUGUAAGUCAGAUGUGAAAGCCCCGGGCUCAACCUGGGAACU
Molecule: ribosomal RNA, 423 nt
Filed under: uncultured bacterium
Lineage: Bacteria
Description: bacterial SSU rRNA
Rfam family: Bacterial small subunit ribosomal RNA
Source: RNAcentral